GUUCAGCAUCUCGCUCCCUGUGUGGUGGGGGCAAACUUUGGGGCUUUGUUGAGUAAACCACUGCAGUUGCUGUAAGGGAGCUGAGCGUGGUGGCCCUCACUGCCCCAGGCUGGGAACAAUUCUGACACUGGGCAUCACAGCCCCUGUGGACAGCACUGGGUCCUGGGAGGAAGGGCUGGAAAGGGGGACAAGGCGGGCUUGCCCCAGCCCUUGUCUAGGCAGAGAAAGCAGACAGCCAGAAAGGGGAUUAACAGGGGGCUCUGAACAAGGGCAGAGGGGACAAAGGGGCUGGGCUGGAGAGCUGGGGGGAGGGGGCCCCAGGUGCCCGCUGUCCUGAGUUAUCUGCACUUUCUCCCAGGUCCUAGUAAUGAAUAACAGCAGUGGAAGCCAUGGGUGCCAUUCACUGCUCUCACGGUAUGUCCGGCUCUAUGCCAAGCAGGCAACUGGCUCAGUUACCCAUCCUGGGAAGCAGGCAAGGGUACCACCUCAUUUGAUAGACGAGAACAGGAAAGCUCAGAGAGAUAAAGUAACUCGUCUGAGUUCCCCAGCAGGAAAGGGGCAAAACGGAAUACCACCCAGGUCUGCCUGGCACGUACCCACCGCUCUCUUGGUGGAGUCAGGGUCGAGGCGGGUGCAGAGUGGCCGGGCAGAGCUCUGAUGGCUUUCUCUGGGGACAGAGGUGGAGGAGAACCAGCCCUGGCCCAGGUAUGCUAUCUGGCCCCAGGAUCGGCUCAUCAGCUUGCAGGUUCACGGGAGUGACCUCAGUGGUGGGGUGUUUUGGUUUCUCUGUUUGUUUGUUUUUUUCCUUUUUCCUUCUAAGAACAACUCAUUUUGGUCAAAUAACUAGAGUAAAAGUGACUGGUGUUGAGAAAUCUCCCCCUCCCCCUUCUCUGGCCCCAGGCAGUGACAUUUGAGGAACUGUCUCCUGGGGCCACAGAGGAUGCUGUUGACCCAGUUCAAAGGGUUGGCUCUUCUCCCUGCCCAGCCCCACCCACUUCCCCUCACCACCUCCCUCACCUGCCAAGCUUGGGCAGCCUCCCACCGGGGACUGAGGUCCCGCCCCAGCGGCCGAGCUGAGCCCCUCUCGGAGAGGGCAGAGCAGCACAGUGUGGGGAGAGAAGCUAAAUUCUCCCCUCUCAUCCCACCUGCGCAAAGAAGGAGACCGGGGAUGUACCAGGCUGCAGGCUCCAGCGCAGAGAAGGAGAAGACGGAGGCGGUGGUGAUGUCAACCAAGGAAUUAAGUAAGCAGAGGAGCUGAUAACACUGCCCGACAAGCCCUGCUGUGGGCAAGGUGACUCAUCAGAGACGGGCCCCACAUCACAGGCCCCAGGGGCGCCGCGUACUGUUGUCCAAGUUGAGAACUGUACAACUGGAGGGGGCACCAUUCACCGUCCAACGCAUGUGCCAGACCGCAUGGCUGUACCUGAUGGCCCCGCCCCUUCUCAUUUCUAAAUUACUUCUCACUCCCCUCCUCCGCCUAGAAUGAUCUAUUUAGCUUGCCCUUGAUAAGUUUGUCUUCACACCAAACUUUCCCCCAUAAACAUAAACUUCCUCCUCUACUGCCUGACUCCUUUUGUUCAUUCGUUCAUUCCACAAAAAAUUGUUGAGUUUGUGCCAGGUACUGUUCUAGGCAAGUGAACCAGACAGACCCUCCCUGAGCUCAUGGAGCUCACAUCUAGGGGGUGCUGGGUUGGAGGGGUGGAAUAAAUAAAUAAUUUGUGACAUAAAACUGC
RNAcentral lists this long non-coding RNA (1733 nucleotides) under Equus caballus (horse). RNAcentral's name for it is "lncRNA (ENSECAG00000053703.1)". The record is from RNAcentral. Lineage: Eukaryota; Metazoa; Chordata; Mammalia; Perissodactyla; Equidae.